This 272-nucleotide ribosomal RNA is filed under the name uncultured bacterium. RNAcentral's name for it is "partial 16S ribosomal RNA". It matches the Rfam family "Bacterial small subunit ribosomal RNA", at positions 28 to 251 of the family's 1533-position model. The record is from RNAcentral.
GAUGAACGCUAGCUACAGGCUUAACACAUGCAAGUCGAGGGGCAUCAGGAAGAAAGCUUGCUUUCUUUGCUGGCGACCGGCGCACGGGUGAGUAACACGUAUCCAACCUGCCCUUUACUCGGGGAUAGCCUUUCGAAAGAAAGAUUAAUACCCCGAUAGGGACUAAUUAAUUCCGACUUACCGUCGGUUUACUAGGUUUUACUUAAAGGUUAAUUUUAAACCGGGGUAAAAGGUUACCGGUUAAAGGGGGGAAUUGGGGGACGUUUCCGACG